Molecule: ribosomal RNA, 1432 nt
Filed under: uncultured bacterium
Lineage: Bacteria
Description: bacterial SSU rRNA
Rfam family: Bacterial small subunit ribosomal RNA
Source: RNAcentral
AACGCUGGCGGCGUGCCUAACACAUGCAAGUCGAGCGAUUUACUUCGGUAAAGAGCGGCGGACGGGUGAGUAACGCGUGGGUAACCUGCCCUGUACACACGGAUAACAUACCGAAAGGUAUGCUAAUACGGGAUAAUAUAAGAGAGUCGCAUGGCUUUCUUAUCAAAGCUUUUGUGGUACAGGAUGGACCCGCGUCUGAUUAGCUAGUUGGUAAGGUAACGGCUUACCAAGGCGACGAUCAGUAGCCGACCUGAGAGGGUGAUCGGCCACAUUGGAACUGAGACACGGUCCAAACUCCUACGGGAGGCAGCAGUGGGGAAUAUUGCACAAUGGGCGAAAGCCUGAUGCAGCAGCGCCGCGUGAGCGAUGAAGGCCUUCGGGUCGUAAAGCUCUGUUCUCAAGGAAGAUAAUGACGGUACUUGAGGAGGAAGCCCCGGCUAACUACGUGCCAGCAGCCGCGGUAAUACGUAGGGGGCUAGCGUUAUCCGGAAUUACUGGGCGUAAAGGGUGCGUAGGCGGUCUUUCAAGUCAGAAGUGAAAGGCUACGGCUCAACCGUAGUAAGCUUUUGAAACUGUAAGACUUGAGUGCAGGAGAGGAGAGUGGAAUUCCUAGUGUAGCGGUGAAAUGCGUAGAUAUUAGGAGGAACACCAGUUGCGAAGGCGGCUCUCUGGACUGUAACUGACGCUGAGGCACGAAAGCGUGGGGAGCAAACAGGAUUAGAUACCCUGGUAGUCCACGCCGUAAACGAUGAGUACUAGCUGUCGGAGGUUACCCCCUUCGGUGGCGCAGCUAACGCAUUAAGUACUCCGCUUGGGGAGUACGCUCGCAAGAGUGAAACUCAAAGGAAUUGACGGGGACCCGCACAAGUAGCGGAGCAUGUGGUUUAAUUCGAAGCAACGCGAAGAACCUUACCUAAGCUUGACAUCCUUUUGACCUCUCCCUAAUCGGAGAUUUCCCUUCGGGGACAAAAGUGACAGGUGGUGCAUGGUUGUCGUCAGCUCGUGUCGUGAGAUGUUGGGUUAAGUCCCGCAACGAGCGCAACCCUUGCCUUUAGUUGCCAGCAUUAAGUUGGGCACUCUAGAGGGACUGCCAGGGAUAACCUGGAGGAAGGUGGGGAUGACGUCAAAUCAUCAUGCCCCUUAUGCUUAGGGCUACACACGUGCUACAAUGGGUGGUACAGAGGGCAGCCAAGUCGUGAGGCGGAGCUAAUCCCUUAAAGCCAUUCUCAGUUCGGAUUGUAGGCUGAAACUCGCCUACAUGAAGCUGGAGUUACUAGUAAUCGCAGAUCAGAAUGCUGCGGUGAAUGCGUUCCCGGGUCUUGUACACACCGCCCGUCACACCACGGAAGUUGGGGGCGCCCGAAGCCACUUAGCUAACCCUUUCGGGAAGCGAGUGUCGAAGGUGAAAUCAAUAACUGGGGUGAAGUCGUAA